This 492-nucleotide ribosomal RNA is filed under the name uncultured bacterium. RNAcentral describes it as "partial 16S ribosomal RNA". It matches the Rfam family "Bacterial small subunit ribosomal RNA", at positions 29 to 507 of the family's 1533-position model. The record is from RNAcentral.
AGUGAACGCUGGCGGUAGGCCUAACACAUGCAAGUCGAACGGCAGCACAGUAAGAGCUUGCUCUUACGGGUGGCGAGUGGCGGACGGGUGAGGAAUACAUCGGCAUCUACUUUUUCGUGGGGGAUAACGUAGGGAAACUUACGCUAAUACCGCAUACGACCUACGGGUGAAAGUAGGGGAUCUUCGGACCUUGCGCGAUUGAAUGAGCCGAUGUCGGAUUAGCUAGUUGGCGGGGUAAAGGCCCACCAAGGCGACGAUCCGUAGCUGGUCUGAGAGGAUGAUCAGCCACACUGGAACUGAGACACGGUCCAGACUCCUACGGGAGGCAGCAGUAGGGAAUAUUGGACAAUGGGCGCAAGCCUGAUCCAGCCAUACCGCGUGAGUGAAGAAGGCCUUCGGGUUGUAAAGCCCUUUUGUUGGGAAAGAAAAGCAGCAGGUUAAUACCCCGCUGUUCUGACGGUACCCAAAGAAUAAGCACCGGCUAACUUCGUG